CGCCCCCGCCAUUGUGGAGAAUGAAGGGUUCAGGCAGCUGGUUCAGCUCCUUGAGCCCUCAUAUGUUUUGCCAACCAGAAAGACCAUCAAACAAAUGUUGGGCAAAAAGUAUGAGGAGGAACGGGAACGAGUGAAAAUGGAAGUACAGCAGGAUGUGGCAUUCCAAGUGCAAUGAGGCCCUCAGCAGACUGCGGACAGACUGUGCAUCAAUACUUGGAAGCACAAAUGAGCCCCAGCCAGGAACUUCUUCACAACAGCUGUCUGCCCCCA
Long non-coding RNA from Fundulus heteroclitus (mummichog), 270 nucleotides. RefSeq lists it as uncharacterized. NCBI's taxonomy places the organism in Eukaryota, Metazoa, Chordata, Actinopteri, Cyprinodontiformes, Fundulidae. The record is from RefSeq and is a predicted model, not a curated record. The transcript is spliced from 3 exons.